CGCGUAGGCGGUUUGUCGAGUUAGGCGUGAAAGGCCUGGGCUUAACCCAGGAAUGGCGCUUGAUACUGACGAUCUGGAGAUCGGGAGAGGAGAGUGGAAUUCCCAGUGUAGAGGUGAAAUUCGUAGAUAUUGGGAAGAACACCGGUGGCGAAGGCGGCUCUCUGGCCCGCAUCUGACGCUAAGGCGCGAAAGCGUGGGGAGCAAACAGGAUUAGAUACCCUGGUAGUCCACGCUGUAAACGAUGAGUGCUAGACGUUGGGGGGCUUGGCUCCUCGGUGUCGCAGCUAACGCGGUAAGCACUCCGCCUGGGGAGUACGGUCGCAAGAUUAAA
Molecule: ribosomal RNA, 331 nt
Filed under: uncultured bacterium
Lineage: Bacteria
Description: bacterial SSU rRNA
Rfam family: Bacterial small subunit ribosomal RNA
Source: RNAcentral